This is an RNA transcript of Glycine soja, 2656 nucleotides long. It is a transcript of the gene named protein FAR-RED ELONGATED HYPOCOTYL 3-like, with no coding region annotated. NCBI's taxonomy places the organism in Eukaryota, Viridiplantae, Streptophyta, Magnoliopsida, Fabales, Fabaceae. The record is from RefSeq and is a predicted model, not a curated record. The transcript has 6 exons.
CUCUGUACUGUACUAUAGGAGUAUAGAGUACAUCCUUUCAACUUGCCGUCUCAAACUCUUUUUUUUAAAAAAAAAACCCACACCUUUUUCACUCUCAGUCGCAGAUUCAAAUGGAGCCCGAGCCCGAACCCGAGCUUGAGCCUGAGCCAGAGCCCGGGCCUGAGUUUAGUUCGAAAGAGGAAGCAUUCUCAUACUACCAAACCUACGCCAAAUCCGUGGGCUUUUCCGCCAUAAUCAAAGCCAGCCGUCGAUCUCGAAUCUCCGGCAACUUCAUUGACGCCAAAUUCGCCUGCACCCGCUACGGCACUCCACCGAACCCUAAAAAACCCAAGCCCAAACGGGCCCGAACAAGCCCCAAAACCGAUUGCAAGGCCUCCAUGCACGUCAAACGAACACCCCACGGUACAUGGAUCAUCUCUUCCUUCAUCAAACACCAUAACCACCAAACUAACUCAAAUAAUAAUGCAAGUCCUUCGAGGAAGCCUAAGAUUAAGAAAACGCUGCAUCAUUUGGUUUUCGCCGAAGGAGACCUUCAAUUUCUGCUAGAUACUUUCAUGUCUAUGCAAAACGAAAACCCUAAUUUCUUUUACGCCGUUGAUUUUAAUGAGGAGCAGCGUUUGAGAACCGUUUUCUGGGUGGAUGCUAAAGCCAGGCUUGAUUACAGACACUUUAGUGAUGUGGUGCUUUUGGACACCACGCAUGUUAAAAAUGAGUGCAAAUUGCCCUUUGUUCCGUUUGUUGGUGUUAACCACCAUUUUCAGGUUUUUUUGCUUGGGUUGGCGUUUGUGUCUGACGAGUCCGAAUCGACGUUUUCGUGGCUGAUGAGGAGUUGGUUGAGAGCAAUGGGAGGAUGUGCUCCUAAGCUGAUGCUCACUGACUGCGACGAAGCGCUGAAGAAAGCUGUUGCUGAAGUGGCUCCUGAGUCUUGGCAUUGUUUUUGUCUGUGGCACGUGUUGAGUAAGGUUCCAGAGAAGCUCGGUCGCGUGAUGCAACGGCAUGGUGGGGAGUUUGUGACUAGGUUUAACGAGUGUGUUUUGAGGUCUAGGACAAAGGAGCAGUUUGAGAAGAGGUGGGGGAAAAUGGUUGGGAGGUUUGAGUUAGGUGAUGAGAGUUGGUUGUGGGAUAUUUAUGAGGAUCGCGAACGGUGGGUACCAGCCUUUAUGAAAGGCAGGGUUUUAGCAGGGUUGUCUACCGUGCAGAGAUCAGAGGCUAUGAACUGUUUGUUUGACAAAUAUGUGCAGAGGAAAACUACUUUGAAAGAGUUUGUGGAGCAAUACAGAGUGGUAUUGCAGGAUAAGUGUGAGGAGGAAGCGAAAGCAGAUUUUGUAACGUUGCAUAGACAGCCAGCGUUGAAGUCCCCAUCGCCGUUUGGGAAACAAAUGGUGGAGUUAUACACGAAUGAGGUGUUUAAGAAGUUCCAGAGUGAGGUUUUGGGAGCUGUUGCUUGUCAUCCAAGAAAAGAAAGUGAAGAUGGACCAACAAAAGUGUUUAGGGUUCAGGAUUUUGAAGACAAUGAAGAUUUUGUUGUCACCUGGAAUGAAUCGACCUUGGAAGUGUUGUGUGCCUGUUAUUCGUUUGAAUUCAAUGGCUUUCUCUGCAGGCAUGUAAUGAUUGUGCUACAGAUUUCUGCUGUACAUAGCAUCCCACCUCGGUAUAUAUUGAAACGCUGGACGAAAGAUGCCAAGUGUAGACAAACAGCAGGAGAUUUGUCUAUGUCAGAUGCAGUUGUCUCUGACUCUAGGGCUAAGCGCUAUAAUAAUUUAUGUCAGCAAGCCUUUCAAUUGGGUGAUGUAGGGUCUUUAUCACAAGAGAGUUACAUUGCUGCUAUAAAUGCAUUGGAAGCCGCAUUGAGAAAGUGUAAGAGCCUGAAUGAUUCAAUUCAGAGUGUCAGAGAACCGAACCUGCCAUGUUCUGGUUCUCAAGAAGGGAUUCUGAUCAGUAACAGUGUUGGUCAUAGCAACAAAAGGGAUAGUACUCUUGGAAAAAGGAAGGUAUGCCCAGAACCAGAGACAGUUGCUAUUGGAGUAAAUUCUAACUGGCAGCAAGUGGAAAACUCCAAUACACAAGCAGCUGGUCUUGAUUGUUCGUAUGAAUCACAACAGAGCAUUCAAGAGAUGGGUCAGCUGAACUCGAGCUCAGAACCCGGAUGGUUAUUUUUCUUCUGAACAAAUUGAUUCAGGAAUGGUGACUAAUCAGAGGUUGUCUGUUGGGAUGACACCCAAAACACUUAGGCUGCCCAAACCCGGCGAGAUGUCCAUGGAUCACCUCUGGGUGCUGACAAGGAAGCCAUGCAUGAAUCAGAGGAAGGUCGAAUGCCAUCUAAAUCAGUUGUCCUCCAAGAACAAGCUACACAAGUCUUUCUGUCAUCACUCUAGAUAUGGGCUACUUGAAAAUUAAUGGCCCCUUAUUAUUAAUAUUUCAGUUAGAAAUGCAGACUUUCAGUGUUGCCUUUGUCUUUGAUUUCUGGAUUUCACAAAAUUUGGAAUGGGAUGCAGCUGGAAGAGUCCUACAGCCUACAGGGUUGUCUGACUACUGUAGUACAUUUGUCUAUGUAUGGCUGAUUUGCAUUAGGAGAACGAUAAGGUUGUAAAAACUCUUUGCACUGUAAUUGUAUAAUGAUAAUCAAGCUGUAAGUUUUAAAUUUGGCUUGUUGGAG